RNAcentral lists this microRNA precursor (81 nucleotides) under Melampsora larici-populina 98AG31. RNAcentral describes it as "microRNA MIR807". Lineage: Eukaryota; Fungi; Basidiomycota; Pucciniomycetes; Pucciniales; Melampsoraceae. The record is from RNAcentral.
AGUCACAUAUGGGUGAAUUAGAUUCACCCAUAUGUGAAUCCAAUUCACAUAUGGGUGAAUCUAAAUCAGCCAUAUGUGAAU